RNAcentral lists this transfer RNA (67 nucleotides) under Maconellicoccus hirsutus (hibiscus mealybug). RNAcentral describes it as "tRNA-Leu". It matches the Rfam family "tRNA". From Rfam's summary of the family: Transfer RNA (tRNA) molecules are approximately 80 nucleotides in length. Their secondary structure includes four short double-helical elements and three loops (D, anti-codon, and T loops). The record is from RNAcentral. Lineage: Eukaryota; Metazoa; Arthropoda; Insecta; Hemiptera; Pseudococcidae.
AUUAAUAUGGCAGAAUAAUGCAUUGAAUUUAAAAUUCAAAUAUAAAUUUAAAUUUUAUUAAUAAUAA